GGAUUAGAUACCCUGGUAGUCCACGCCGUAAACGAUGGGCACUAGGUGUCUGGGGACUAGUCCCCCGGGUGCCGUAGCUAACGCGUUAAGUGCCCCGCCUGGGGAGUACGCCGGCAACGGUGAAACUCAAAGGAAUUGACGGGGGCCCGCACAAGCGGUGGAGCAUGUGGUUUAAUUCGAUGCAACGCGAAGAACCUUACCUGGGCUUGAACAGCAGAUGCAAUCUGUAGAGAUAUAGAGUUCUAGUUUACUAGACGUCUGUAGAGGUGCUGCAUGGCUGUCGUCAGCUCGUGCCG
RNAcentral lists this ribosomal RNA (296 nucleotides) under uncultured bacterium. RNAcentral's name for it is "partial 16S ribosomal RNA". It matches the Rfam family "Bacterial small subunit ribosomal RNA", at positions 775 to 1067 of the family's 1533-position model. The record is from RNAcentral.